This 239-nucleotide long non-coding RNA is filed under the name Brassica napus (rape). RNAcentral describes it as "long non-coding RNA (BNAP_LNC017063)". The record is from RNAcentral. Lineage: Eukaryota; Viridiplantae; Streptophyta; Magnoliopsida; Brassicales; Brassicaceae.
GGGCAGAAUGGGGAAAGCGUAAACCGAUCUAGGAGCAAGUAUAUAAGGAGUCCUAGGCGAGAGGCAAAGAGGGAUUCAACACACAGCAAAACUUAGCACUUAAAGCAAUUUAGACAAUUUUCUGUUUUUGUUAUUCGAGCUGCGAUUCAAUCAGGUUUAGUAGCUCUAGGGUUUUAGAACUAAGAAUCUUGCCGACAGCUCUCGUAGCGCAGACUCUUACCUUGUUGUAACGUUCAAAC